RNAcentral lists this small nucleolar RNA (133 nucleotides) under Choloepus hoffmanni (Hoffmann's two-fingered sloth). RNAcentral describes it as "Small nucleolar RNA SNORA17 (ENSCHOG00000015028.1)". It matches the Rfam family "Small nucleolar RNA SNORA17". Rfam says of the family: snoRNA ACA 17 belongs to the H/ACA family of snoRNAs and is predicted to guide pseudouridylation of the 28S rRNA at positions U4659 and U4598. It shares the same host gene together with ACA43. The record is from RNAcentral. Lineage: Eukaryota; Metazoa; Chordata; Mammalia; Pilosa; Megalonychidae.
ACUGCCCCCAGAGGCGUUGCAGAUGUGGCUGCCGUGUCACAUUUGUGUCAUUGGGUGGCAGAGAGAAGAAAGGCUAUGUCUACGCUCGGUGUUCUGCCCCGAAUUCCACCACAUUGAUUAGUAGUCGUUCUUU